Molecule: long non-coding RNA, 423 nt
Organism: Melanaphis sacchari
Lineage: Eukaryota; Metazoa; Arthropoda; Insecta; Hemiptera; Aphididae
Exons: 4
Source: RefSeq, a predicted model, not a curated record
UCAAAACCUUCAUCCAAUUUUUGGUUUGGCAACAACGCAAUUGCCAUUACCAUUCGAAAUAAAUCAUGGACUUUCCUAUUUUCCCUGUAUAAAUUGAAUCCAAAAUCUCACCAAGUUCUUGAAUUUUUCGCCAUAUACAUUGUGACGAAUGAAACCAACAACCUACAAUUCUGGCUGUAGGAAAAACGGAAUGUAUGGCAUUGAUAGAAGCGCGUUCAAAGUCUGUCAUGACAGUUGUUGGUUGCCAACGUUAUGAAGAUGACCAAUGUUCAAAAUAACAGUAUUUGGAUCAGCAUUUAAAAUUUUACCACGAGCAGGACAGCUGUAUUAGAUAAAAGCUGAAAAAAAAAGGAUUACUUACUUUGACCUCCAAAGAGAACAGCGAACAGUAAAACCAUCUCUACGAGUCUGGUGCUUCCAAUA